UGCAUUUAUUUACUGACUCCUGAAAACAUCGAAACAACGUCCAUCAAAUCAGGUCAAACAUUAUUGAAGAGAAAAAUUGGCUCAACCAAAAUCUAUUCAUCUUUGAUGUAAAGCAAAUACCCCCUCCAUUUAAAAAAGAAUGACCUACUAUCCUUUUUAGUCCGUUUAAAAAAGAAUGAUCCCUUUCCUUUUUUGACAAUACUUUAAUUUUAACUUUCCACAUGGCAUGUUUAGGACCGCAAGAUUAAAGGACAUUUUGAUACAUUUGACACAACUUUUAUUUAAGGCUACAAAAUUCAAAAGUCUUAUUUAUUUUCUUAAACUUUAUGCCAAGUCAAAGUAGGUCAUUCUUUUUUAAAUGAAGAGAGUAACAAAUAUCAAAUAUCAUACAUAGAUGUUAUCUAUGAAACGUAAAACAUACAGGGAUAAUGAACCACAAAGAAAAAUAAAGAAUAAUCCAGGAUCCCUUCAAAUUAAAAAAAUUGCAAAACACAACAUCAACGGUUUUAAUUAUGAACACUUCUUCUACUUCGCAUAUGAGUCAGUUUGCAUGCGCCUCAACUAAUUUGGUCACUCUAUUCACCAAGUUUGGACAAAUAGAAAGAGUUAUCUCGCUUCCAUUGAAAUUUCAAAACAUGGUACCUCUUGGUAUAUAAAUCACUCCAUUGAUCAUUAAGUCACACCUGUGGUACAAAAAACUAUCAAAAAAGAUCCAUUGUGGCAAGCUGACUUUCUUUCCUCCUCCCGCUCUUCUGUAUUUUUCUUCAAUGGGAAAACUAAUUGGGCCUUGCAAGAAAUAACACACAAGCCUAACUUAUUCAUGUCUCAACCAUGUAUUAAACUAUAAAAUACUUCAAUUUUUCGUGGACUUCUAAUUAUAUCUCAACUAACCUUUCCAAUUCGCUGUAGAACCAAAAAGAAUUACCUAUAAAGUUGCUCCAUGUUUGUGGUAUAUAGUCACUUGCACCACAUAAUCUUUGUGUUUCUUGUGCAACCAAAUACUCUUUUCCUAUAUUAUCUGAUAUGAUUAUAAUAGACGAAAAAUAACACAAGAAAUAAAUAGAACUAAAGAAAUUCUCAGAGAAUAGAAUUAGCAUAGAAAGUAACUAUAGAGUGAAUUACGACUCAGAUCCUCUUUAUGAGCUCGUCUAGGAAUAACAUUCUUUAAAAAACUUUUUAUAGGCUUAGAUCCACUUAUGAAAUCGUCUAGUAAUUGCAUUAUUAGCGAACAUUUAAUAAAAGUAGAGGAUCAUCUUAGUUGUAUUUGUGCACCGAAAUGUCAUUAUCUACAUGUAUUUAGCAUAGUUUCAAGGACUUCUUGUAUGUCUAAUGAGUUGUUAAUGAUAUAAUUGAGCAUCUAUGUGUUAAACCACUUUUUAUGGUUUUUAAGGUGUGUUCAAAAUAAGUUUAGAAUCAAAUUGGUCACUUAGAGUCUAGAAAAGAAAACUAGUGUUACUAGCUUAAGCUAUGUGUUAUUUUAGUAUACCUCGAUGGAUUCUAUUGUGUUAUAUGCACUAAUUCGUGGUGCUUGAUGAUGGAGGAUACCAUGCAAGACAUUAGGAGAAAUUUACAGGAGAUUAACAAGGUCUAAAGAUGUUGGAAAGGCACCCGCGAAGUGAGAAAUGCAAAGGCAAAAGAGAGGAGUAGAUGAUGGAAAAAUCUAGAAUUUUUGAUGCCAUGGGCAUGCCAUGCCCUCCAGCUUCCGAGAUAAGGACUGAUAACGCUCAACUUACACUUCAAUUUAGUGCAAGGCAGUCGUCGUCAAUAUAUUUACCCAACUUUGGAGUCGGGGUCAAAUCCACAGGGAAAAAUGUGAGUGGCGAUUAAACUAGUUUGAAACUAAACCUACAAGUUAAAUUCAAAUAACUGGCACGAGAAGACAAAAUGGGGUUUUUAAUGAUUAGCAAAUAAUUUUCGGUCACUUUAAUCAGUGUUUGUAGUCAAGAGUUUAUAGAGAAACCAGAAUUAUAUUAACUAGGGUGUUCGGUACUUGACAGAUGCUAAUAGUGAUUCAACAUUUUC
This 2022-nucleotide long non-coding RNA is filed under the name Capsicum annuum. Its description in RNAcentral is "long non-coding RNA (CANN_LNC013747)". The record is from RNAcentral. Lineage: Eukaryota; Viridiplantae; Streptophyta; Magnoliopsida; Solanales; Solanaceae.